UAAGGCGCCUCCAUACUAUUUUCCAUAGUGGCUGUACUAGUUUAUAUUUCCACCAACGUUGUUUGAGAGUCCCCCUUUCUCCACAGCCUCACCAGGAUCCGCUAUUCCCUGUCUUUUUUAUAAAAGCCAUUCUAACUGGGAUCAUUCUUUUGGUGUCAUAUUUAAGAACUAUUUGCCCAACCCAAGACUAAGAGAGAUGGAGUCUUUCCUCUUGGAUGACAUCAGCUCUGUGAUACAGAACAAAGGCAUUGAGAGAAUCAUCUCACCAAUGAUCGUUCAGCUUUGCCAUCUGCUUAUCUCAAUGGAGAGGAAAGAAGUGGAGAAUGAAGUAUUUGCCUCAUUGGAGAAGACGGCUGAGGAACUGGCGAAAGCUUGUGAAGACUUCGUGCGAGUUGCCAAAAGGUGUUGGAGCAAACUGCCUAUGUUUGAAUCUUAGCAACACCAUCAAUUUAAUGCAAUCCUAUAAAAAUUCCACAAGCUUUCUUUUUCAAAUGGAGCUUGAAAAGUUGAUACCAAACUCCAUAUGAAAAAAAUUAAACGUAAGAACAACUAGGAGAACCCUGGAAUAAAAAGCUGUGGAGAGAGAAUAGCUUGUCAGGGAUUAAAAAUACAUUCUAGAUCUUCUUUUAGGAAAGUGUGUGAUACCGUCAUAUGAAGAGACAGAUUGACCACUGGAACAGAAUAAAAAGCCCAGAAACACACAACUACACAUGGAUCUGUACACCACAAAGAGUGGACUUUAGUGCAUGCAAAUUUGAAAAAUGAACCAGGCUGGCCGGGCGGGUGGCUCACGCCUGUAAACCCAGCAUUUUGGGAGGCCGAGGCAGGUGGAUCGCCUGAGGUCGGGAGUUCAAGACCAUCCUGGCCAGCAUGGUGAAAGCCUGUCUCUACUAAAAAUACAAAAAUUAGCCGGGCGUGGUGGCGGGCGCCUGUAGUC
Molecule: small RNA, 937 nt
Filed under: Pongo abelii (Sumatran orangutan)
Lineage: Eukaryota; Metazoa; Chordata; Mammalia; Primates; Hominidae
Description: processed transcript
Source: RNAcentral